RNAcentral lists this ribosomal RNA (253 nucleotides) under uncultured bacterium. Its description in RNAcentral is "partial 16S ribosomal RNA". It matches the Rfam family "Bacterial small subunit ribosomal RNA", at positions 524 to 776 of the family's 1533-position model. The record is from RNAcentral.
UACGGGGGGUGCAAGCGUUGUUCGGAAUCAUUGGGCGUAAAGAGCGUGUAGGCGGCCGGAUAAGUCAGAUGUGAAAGCCCUGGGCUUAACCCGGGAAGUGCAUUUGAAACUGUCCUGCUAGAGUAAGGGAGAGGGAAGUGGAAUUCCUGGUGUAGAGGUGAAAUUCGUAGAUAUCAGGAGGAACACCGGUGGCGAAGGCGACUUCCUGGCCCUAUACUGACGCUGAGACGCGAGAGCGUGGGUAGCAAACAGC